RNAcentral lists this ribosomal RNA (299 nucleotides) under uncultured bacterium. Its description in RNAcentral is "partial 16S ribosomal RNA". It matches the Rfam family "Bacterial small subunit ribosomal RNA", at positions 28 to 334 of the family's 1533-position model. The record is from RNAcentral.
GACGAACGCUGGCGGCAUGCCUAACACAUGCAAGUCGAACGGAGAUAGCGAUAUCUUAGUGGCGAACGGGUGAGUAAUGCAUGAGCAACCUGCCCUGCAAACCGGGAUAACACAGAGAAAUUUGUGCUAAUACCGGAUAAGACCACGCCUCCGCAUGGAGAAGUGGUAAAAACGAUUUAGUGAUGCAGGAGGGGCUCAUGUCCCAUUAGAUAGUUGGCGGGAUAACAGCCCACCAAGUCCGCGAUGGGUAGCCGACUUGAGAGAGUGAUCGGCCACACUGGAACUGAGACACGGUCCAG